AGUAAACGCUGGCGGUAGGCCUAACACAUGCAAGUCGAACGGUAGCACAGGAGAGCUUGCUCUCUGGGUGGCGAGUGGCGGACGGGUGAGGAAUACAUCGGAAUCUACUCUGUCGUGGGGGAUAACGUAGGGAAACUUACGCUAAUACCGCAUACGACCUACGGGUGAAAGCAGGGGAUCUUCGGACCUUGCGCGAUUGAAUGAGCCGAUGUCGGAUUAGCUAGUUGGCGGGGUAAAGGCCCACCAAGGCGACGAUCCGUAGCUGGUCUGAGAGGAUGAUCAGCCACACUGUGACUGAGACACGGGCCAGCCUCCUACGGGAGGCAGCAGUGGGGAAUAUUGGACAAUGGGCGCAAGCGUGAUCCAGCCAUACCGCGUGGGUGAAGAAGGCCUUCGGGUUGUAAAGCCCUUUUGUUGGGAAAGAAAUCCAGCUGGCUAAUACCCGGUUGGGAUGACGGUACCCAAAGAAUAAGCACCGGCUAGCUUCGUGCCAGCAGCCGCAGUAA
Molecule: ribosomal RNA, 506 nt
Filed under: uncultured bacterium
Lineage: Bacteria
Description: partial 16S ribosomal RNA
Rfam family: Bacterial small subunit ribosomal RNA
Source: RNAcentral